UACGUAGGGUGCAAGCGUUGUCCGGAAUUAUUGGGCGUAAAGAGCUCGUAGGCGGUCUGUCGCGUCGGCUGUGAAAACUCGGGGCUCAACCCCGAGCCUGCAGUCGAUACGGGCAGACUAGAGUGCGGUAGGGGAGACUGGAAUUCCUGGUGUAGCGGUGAAAUGCGCAGAUAUCAGGAGGAACACCGGUGGCGAAGGCGGGUCUCUGGGCAACAACUGACGCUGAGGAGCGAAAGCGUGGGGAGCGAACAGG
This 253-nucleotide ribosomal RNA is filed under the name uncultured bacterium. RNAcentral's name for it is "partial 16S ribosomal RNA". It matches the Rfam family "Bacterial small subunit ribosomal RNA", at positions 524 to 776 of the family's 1533-position model. The record is from RNAcentral.